This 438-nucleotide ribosomal RNA is filed under the name uncultured bacterium. RNAcentral describes it as "bacterial SSU rRNA". It matches the Rfam family "Bacterial small subunit ribosomal RNA", at positions 338 to 795 of the family's 1533-position model. The record is from RNAcentral.
CCUACGGGUUGCACCAGUGGGGAAUAUUGGACAAUGGGCGAAAGCCUGAUCCAGCAAUGCCGCGUGUGUGAAGAAGGUCUUCGGAUUAAGGCACUUUCGACGGGGACGAUGAUGACGGUACCCGUAGAAGAAGCCACGGCUAACUUCGUGCCAGCAGCCGCGGUAAUACGAAGGGGGCUAGCGUUGCUCGGAAUGACUGGGCGUAAAGGGCGCGUAGGCGGUUUAUGCAGUCAGACGUGAAAUCCCCGGGCUUAACCUGGGAACUGCAUUUGAGACGCAUAGACUAGAGGUCGAGAGAGGGUUGUGGAAUUCCCAGAGUAGAGGUGAAAUUCGUAGAUAUUGGGAGGAACACCGGUGGCGAAGGCGGCAACCUGGCUCGAUACUGACGCUGAGGCGCGAAAGCGUGGGGAGCAAACAGGAUUAGAUACCCCCGUAGUC